AACGCACAUUGCGCCCCCUGGCAUUCCGGGGGGCAUGCCUGUCCGAGCGUCAUUUCUGCCCUCAAGCACGGCUUGUGUGUUGGGUGUGGUCCCCUCCCUGGCGGGGGGACCUGCCCGAAAGGCAGCGGCGACGUCGCGUCCGGUCCUCGAGCGUAUGGGGCUUUGUCACUCGCUCGGGAAGGACCUGCGCACGUCUGUCACAACUGUAUUUUUUUACCACGGUUGACCUCGGAUCAGGUAGGAGUUACCCGCUGAACUUAA
Molecule: unclassified non-coding RNA, 261 nt
Filed under: uncultured fungus
Lineage: Eukaryota; Fungi
Description: sequence contains ITS2
Source: RNAcentral